CAGUCGCCGCGGUAAUACGUAGGUCCCGAGCGUUGUCCGGAUUUAUUGGGCGUAAAGCGAGCGCAGGCGGUUAGAUAAGUCUGAAGUUAAAGGCUGUGGCUUAACCAUAGUACGCUUUGGAAACUGUAUGCCUUGAGUGCAGGAGAGGAAAGCGGAAUUCCCAGUGUAGCGGUGAAAUGCGUAGAUAUUGGGAGGAGCACCAGUGGCGAAGGCGGCUUUCUGGACUAAAACUGACGCUGAGGCACGAAAGUGUGGGUAGCAAACAGGAUUAGAUACCCCCGUAGUCCCUGUCUCUUAUACA
This 301-nucleotide ribosomal RNA is filed under the name uncultured bacterium. Its description in RNAcentral is "partial 16S ribosomal RNA". It matches the Rfam family "Bacterial small subunit ribosomal RNA", at positions 509 to 808 of the family's 1533-position model. The record is from RNAcentral.